CCUACGGGAGGCAGCAGUGGGGAAUUUUGGACAAUGGGCGCAAGCCUGAUCCAGCAAUGCCGCGUGAGUGAAGAAGGCCUUCGGGUUGUAAAGCUCUUUUGUCAGGGAAGAAACGGUGGGGGCUAAUAUCCCUCGCUAAUGACGGUACCUGAAGAAUAAGCACCGGCUAACUACGUGCCAGCAGCCGCGGUAAUACGUAGGGUGCAAGCGUUAAUCGGAAUUACUGGGCGUAAAGCGUGCGCAGGCGGUUUUGUAAGUCUGUCGUGAAAGCCCCGGGCUCAACCUGGGAAUUGCGAUGGAGACUGCAAGGCUUGAAUCUGGCAGAGGGGGGUAGAAUUCCACGUGUAGCAGUGAAAUGCGUAGAGAUGUGGAGGAACACCGAUGGCGAAGGCAGCCCCCUGGGUCAAGAUUGACGCUCAUGCACGAAAGCGUGGGGAGCAAACAGGAUUAGAUACCCUGGUAGUCCACGCCCUAAACGAUGUCUACUAGUUGUCGGGUUUUAAUUAACUUGGUAACGCAGCUAACGCGUGAAGUAGACCGCCUGGGGAUACGGUCGCAAGAUUAAAACNCAAAGGAUUGACGGCUGAGAGNGCGAGACGACGACGAGGGAGAGG
RNAcentral lists this ribosomal RNA (614 nucleotides) under uncultured bacterium. Its description in RNAcentral is "bacterial SSU rRNA". It matches the Rfam family "Bacterial small subunit ribosomal RNA", at positions 338 to 947 of the family's 1533-position model. The record is from RNAcentral.